CAGCAGCCACGGUAAUACGUAGGUGGCAAGCGUUGUCCGGAUUUAUUGGGCGUAAAGCGAGCGCAGGCGGUCAAUUAAGUCUGAUGUGAAAGCCCCCGGCUCAACCGGGGAGGGUCAUUGGAAACUGGUUGACUUGAGUGCAGAAGAGGAGAGUGGAAUCCCAUGUGUAGCGGUGAAAUGCGUAGAUAUAUGGAGGAACACCAGUGGCGAAGGCGACUCUCUGGUCCGUAACUGACGCUGAGGCUCGAAAGCGUGGGUAGCAAACAGGAUUAGAUACCCCUGUAGUCCCUGUCUCUUAUAC
Molecule: ribosomal RNA, 301 nt
Filed under: uncultured bacterium
Lineage: Bacteria
Description: partial 16S ribosomal RNA
Rfam family: Bacterial small subunit ribosomal RNA
Source: RNAcentral